This 1751-nucleotide ribosomal RNA is filed under the name Placozoa sp. H9 HM-2017. RNAcentral's name for it is "rns". It matches the Rfam family "Bacterial small subunit ribosomal RNA". The record is from RNAcentral. Lineage: Eukaryota; Metazoa; Placozoa.
UCCUUUGAUUUUGAGGAAGGUUUAAAGCUAGUGGCACUUUUAAUACAUGCUAGUCAAACGGGGAAUAAAAAUUGUUACAAAACCCCGUGGCAAACAGGUGAGUAAUGUACCGAUUUUGCCCAAAAGUAAGGGCAAAAACCCCAGGGGGAGCCAAAAGGAGGUUUUAAAGCCUUUUUCCUCUUCCCUGAAAUUGAGGGAACCCAUCUCAGGUGUUCGUUUGCUUUUGGAGAGAUCGGAAUUCGUAUUAGACGAGGGGGAGGGAAUCCUAAGGAUUCCCGGCUUUUUCCUCUGUCAAUGAUGCGUAGCUGAGAGGUCACAGUUAUACUGAAACAAGGAUAACCAUGUUGAUACAUGCCAGCAGUAGAGAAUUUUGGGCAAUCAACGAAAGUUGGACCCAGAGAUGUCGCUUUUUGGGAUUUGUGCAGAUCCGAAAAGGGGGGGGAGAGCCCCCAAAAGGGCGGGGGGCCUUUGGCGCCCCGGGAAUCCUCCUUUUUUUCCCCCUUCCGGGCCCCUUUUCCCGGGGAAUUCGUUGGAUUCCCCCAAGUCCGUCAAAAAGACGUGCCAGCAGACGCGGUUAGACGUCUGGACUAAGUUUUAGCCAAAAAACAGGCGUAAAGUGUGAAGAGGGUGAAUGAAAAAGAAGACGUGGUUUUAAAAGAAAAAAUCCCGCUUUAGAGAAAAAAAAGGUAAUUGGAACUUUUAGGUAUUGGUGAAAUAAUUCGAUCUAAAAAGGAACACCGGAGACGAAGGUUAAUUACCAAAAAGUUCUGUCGCUUUUUUCACGAAAACAUAGGGAGCAAACAGGAUUAGAUACCCUGGUAGUCUAUUGUUGUAAAAGCUGAUCUAACGCGGCAAAUUUUUUAUGUCGCCUUGAUAACUCGAAAAGAUUCCGCCUGAAUAGUACGACCGCAAGGUUGAAAUUCAAAAAAUUUGGCGGUUCACUAAUCCAAUUAGAGGAGCGUGUAGUUUAAUGCGAUGAUCCGCGAAUAACCUUACCAGAACUUGAAUAAAAGGAAUAGACGGGAGGGAACAAUUUAAGAAAAUUUUGCGGGACCCUUUGGGUCCCAACGGUUACCCCCUUUCUGCAUGUGUAAACGCAUUCCUUUUACAGGUAUCGCACGGCCGUCGUCAGUUUGUGUUGUGAAACUAUUUUAACGAACUUAACCCCUUUUUUAGAUAAAAAGGGUGCUCAAAAGAGUGUCCCCUAAUUUUUGGGGGGGCGCCUUAGGCGCCGGGAUCCUUUGGAUCCCUCCCUUCGGUUCCCCCCCUUUUUUUAUCUAUUUUUUUGGGAUGACGUCAGGUCCUCAUGGUCCUAAUGUUCUGGGCACCCGGGCGCCAACGGCGUCCCCCCUUAUGCGCUACAAUCUUUUUUACAAAAAGGAAUAUUCUCUUCGUUUUCAAUUUGUUUUUAAUAAAAAAGCUCGGAGAAAGAUCUGAAAAGUUCUUUUGAAGUUGGAUUUAAUAGUAAUCGUAAAGUAGAGCGUUACGGUGAAUAUGGCUCUAGUGUUCGUACAAAUCGCCCGUCAACUCGGCCGAGUUUUUAAUGUUGAAGAAAUCUAAGAGCUUCUCGGUAUAUAUCCAGGGAUCCUUUGGAUCCCUCCAACCCUGUUUGGAAUUUUCCCUCCGCUUUUCCGAAAAGCUUUUUGAGCCUCAAUAAAGGGGGUCCUUAGUACCCCCUUGGCCGAUUUUUAGACUUUCGAAAUUAGGUUGAGUAAGUCGUAACAAAGCAAGUGUACUGGAAAGUGUUCUUG